CCUACGGGAGGCUGCAGUGGGGAAUAUUGGACAAUGGGCGAAAGCCUGAUCCAGCCAUGCCGCGUGUGUGAAGAAGGCCUUCGGGUUGUAAAGCACUUUCAGUGGGGAAGAAAGCCUUGGGGCUAAUACCCUCGAGGAAGGACAUCACCCACAGAAGAAGCACCGGCUAACUCCGUGCCAGCAGCCGCGGUAAUACGGAGGGUGCGAGCGUUAAUCGGAAUUACUGGGCGUAAAGCGCGCGUAGGCGGUCUGAUAAGCCGGUUGUGAAAGCCCCGGGCUCAACCUGGGAACGGCAUCCGGAACUGUCAGGCUAGAGUGCAGGAGAGGAAGGUAGAAUUCCCGGUGUAGCAGUGAAAUGCGUAGAGAUCGGGAGGAAUACCAGUGGCGAAGGCGGCCUUCUGGACUGACACUGACGCUGAGGUGCGAAAGCGUGGGUAGCAAACAGGAUUAGAUACCCGGGUAGUC
Molecule: ribosomal RNA, 465 nt
Filed under: Vreelandella stevensii
Lineage: Bacteria; Pseudomonadati; Pseudomonadota; Gammaproteobacteria; Oceanospirillales; Halomonadaceae
Description: partial 16S ribosomal RNA
Rfam family: Bacterial small subunit ribosomal RNA
Source: RNAcentral